RNAcentral lists this non-coding RNA (21 nucleotides) under Caenorhabditis elegans. Lineage: Eukaryota; Metazoa; Nematoda; Chromadorea; Rhabditida; Rhabditidae. The record is from RNAcentral.
UAAUGUAAGUUAAAUUGGUGU